UUGUGGGCCUUCCCACCACUGCCAAGUUCCUGUGUGGAAAUCCUGACCUCUGCUGUGGUCGUAUUAGGAGACAGUGUCUCUGGGAGGUGACUGUGUCACAAGAGUGACGCUCUCAUGAAUGGGAUUAGCACCCAUAUAAAACUGGCCCCAGAGAGUCCUGUGUCUCUCCCACCACGUGAGGACACAGCUAGAAGACAGACAGCCGUCUAUGAGUCGGGAAGUGGACCCUCACCAGACACUGAGUCUGCCAGUGCCUUGACCUUGACUUCCCAGCCUCUGAAACUGUGAAAAUACAGUUUGAUGGAGAAAACUGGACUUGACUGAUGAGAGCUUCCUAUAUGCAGAAGAAAUAUUUGGAAAUCGCCUGAGUCCAGCAAUGGCUAACCAGGUUGGUGCAUUUGGAAACAGAUGUCCUGUGCGUAUCAACAAGCCCAGUGAUCAGCAUGUCAGCUCAGAAACACCUCAUUUGAAAGAGCCAAGGAGCUUUGCCAUACCCACGGUUGCUGGAAUGAGUUCUCUUAUAUUUUGGGAGGUUACUAUGUGUAAUUCAGGAUGACUCCAUAAAAGAAUGAAGAAUGAAUGAGUACACCCAGGGAAAUACACAUUUAACUCAGCAUGGUCUCACUGGCCAGCUGCUGUGUUCUUUGGGAAUUCUGCUGAUCUGUCAAAACGCAACUCAUGUUCAGAAAGGUGAAGAGGCUAAGCCACAGCCUUUGCAAAAUUAUUUGUGCAUGCGGGCAUGCGUCUGCGUGUGCACACAUAUAUGUAUUAUUUCUUCCCAAUGGCUGGAAACACAUUUCCAUAAAUAUUGUUACAUGGGAGAGGUAAAAGCAACUUCAGGAAACUAUUGUGCUUUUUUCUAGGGUUCUUGCCUUUGCUGUGAUCCUUUCUAAGUCACCUCGGUUCUUAUUGAGGCUUCUCUUACGCACUGCUGAAUGAAUGCCAGCUCACUGGGAACCACGGUUCCCUCUGCCCAUGGCUCCUUUUGGCGCCUGUUCUAUUUGGAGCAGCAGUAACAGAGCCCAGAGAAAGGUACUAUACUCACAAGAGAAGUGGGCAGGAAGUUCAUUCUGCCUCUUGUCACGGGUGGGGCCGUCUGCCCAUUGCAAUGAUCACCAACCUCAUGGCCUGGAAGGCGUGUGCUUUAGUGCCUAUGUGGCUCAGUCCCUUCCACCCUCACCUCUUCCAAAGACACCUUUGGAGAGAAGGGAGUAAGACUUCUCAAGAGGGUAGAACUACUGUAGGGGAGUCAGUGCAAGCACCUGAGGCCCACUCAUCUCUCCUGUUUUCCUUCCUCCCCACAAAAUAAAAAACGCUAGAUUUUUUAUCUUAAGCACAUCUCCAGUUCCAUGAUGGACCUAGGCUCAACUCAUGUGUUUUCAACUGUAGCUUUUGGCAGUGUACUUUGUGACUUUUCCCCAAAUGAUGCUGUGUUUUAGGGAAGGACAAUCAGCCUUCUGUUUAUACAUUACAUAGUCAAAUGAGGUCUCAGAUUGUCUAGCUACAGAGUUGUGCUUGCUUGUAGGAAUCAAUGAAUAAAACAAAGUCUGGAUUUCUCAAGUAUCUCUGGACUUCAAGUCUUGCAUUUCACACCAGGAAGCCAAUUUCAUGAAGAACUUUUCUACUUUAAC
Manis javanica (Malayan pangolin) is the source of this 1631-nucleotide long non-coding RNA. RefSeq lists it as uncharacterized. Lineage: Eukaryota; Metazoa; Chordata; Mammalia; Pholidota; Manidae. The record is from RefSeq and is a predicted model, not a curated record.